UAUCUUUUGCUGUUCCUCUCUUUGAUAUUUUUGUCAUAAAUGUAAUUAUGCUUAGGGAAUGUUAGGUUAUGCUUGUGAAGAUUCAUUCCUAAAUUGUUUGUUUUGGAUGUUCUUAAAGUCCAAUAGGAAUUGGAGGUUGAAAGUGAUUGAUUUUCGUUGCAGUUUCAGAGUUUAUUUGGUUAAAAUGAUGGUUUAACUGAGAUGUGAUUUUAUGUGAUUUGUGGAUCAAGCGAUGACUACAAACCAGAAUGCCAACUCAGAACCAUCUCAAGUACGGUCAGUUCUUGUUGUUUAGAGUGGUAUAGUAAUUGAAUUUAAUUAAAGUUUGGGGAUCUGAGGCAUAUGGACUGGAUUUGUUGCUAUUUACAAACGUUCAUAUAUUUUAUAUGGCCUUUCCCUUUUUUUGAUGCUGUAUUAGACAUGUAUGCUGGAGAUAAAUGUUUCUUUGGAUAAAACAUGCUCUUGAUUUUUCAGUUUAGCUACCCAUCUGAGUUGAGUUAUGUAAAACAUGCUAUGAAUACUGUUGAAUUUUAUUAGUUCCAAUGGUAUCUAUAUAUAUUAUUUAGUGAACUUUUAAAAAGAUGCAUCUCUUGUUACUUCUAUGAGGUUCAUGGCCACUCCAAAGUUGUAAUUUAUAAACUUUAUGCAAGAUUUGGUUGGAUAUCUUGGUAAAAACGGUGGUCUAUUCUCACACGGACAUCAGUGGUUUUCUUCAGAAGUAAUCCAAGUGCUGUUACUCAAAAAGGCAGUGAAGUGAACUUGACUCUUUGGUGGUACUGACCUCAACAAUUCAGGCAGUUCAAAUUAUUAAAUACAUGUUUGCUUGUCAUAGUUGUUUCCACGAGGGAAGUGAGUUUAGUUUACAUACUUCAUAGUGCUUUCUUUGGAUGAUUUCUAGUGUGAUUGUGAAAUCAGAAACUAGUGCUUCAUUACAUUAUCUUUAGGAACUAGUGCUUUGAUGGGAAUUAUUAGUGAAAGUUAAAUUAGCUUUCAAUUCUAUGAAUAACAUUUUAAUCAAGGGGGCUUGUGGGAAAAAAAAAUGAUAUUAGUUUUGAGUGGUCAAAGCAAUCACCAAUCAAGCAAAUGUGGUAAUGAAAGGAAGAAAUGAAAUUAGGAGCUUUUUUCUCCACUAUCUAUUA
Manihot esculenta (cassava) is the source of this 1139-nucleotide long non-coding RNA. RefSeq lists it as uncharacterized. NCBI's taxonomy places the organism in Eukaryota, Viridiplantae, Streptophyta, Magnoliopsida, Malpighiales, Euphorbiaceae. The record is from RefSeq and is a predicted model, not a curated record. The transcript has 2 exons.